UUUUUUUUUUUUUUGUCUUUUUAGGCCUGCAAACCUCAGCAUAUGUAGGUUUCCAGGCUAGGGGUGGAAAUGGAGCCAUAGCUGCAGGCCUAUACCAUAGCCACAGCAACACCAGAUCCAACCCAUGUCUGCAAUGCACACCACAGCCCACAGCAACACCGGAUCCUCAACCCACUGAGCAAGGCCAGGGAUCAAACCUAUGUCCUCAUGGAUGUUAGCCAGAUUUGUUUCCACUGAGCCAAUGAUGGGAACUCCAUGAAAGGUAACUUUUUAAAAAAAUAAUGCGUUAAUUAAUCUGUGGUAAUCAUUUUACAAUGUAGAUGAAUAUCAAACCAUCGUGUUGUACAAUUUAAAUAUACAGAACUCAAAUAUUCCUCAAUAAAGCUGGAAAAAAUAUAAUUAAAUAAGUACUUGCUAAUUAAAUGAGUAUACACUUCAAAUAAAUAGCAUUUUAUUUGUCAAUUAUUCCUUAAUACAGCUAGAAAAAAAUAAAAUUAACUAAGUAUUUGCUGAAUGAACGAGUACGGUAAGUGUGAGCAGUGAUUAUCAUAUAACUGCUUAUUUUUAUUUUUAAUUUUUUUUCUGUCUUUUUGCCAUUUCUAGGGCCGCUCCUGUGGCAUAUGUAGAUUCCCAGGCUAGGGGUCUAAUGGAAGCUGUAGUAGCCGGCCACAGCAACACAGGAUCUGAGCUGCGUCUGCAACCUACACCACAGCUCGUGGCAACACUGGACCCUUAACCCACUGAGCGAGGCCAGGGAUCAAACCUGCAAACUCAUGGUUCCUAGUCAGAUUUGUUAACCACUGAGCAGUAACGGGAAUUCCCUAUAACUGCUUAUUUUGACAUUCAUCAGAUCACAUGUACAGCUUUGAUGGUCUAAUGUAUAUCAAAAUGACAUAAAGCUUUAAAAACAAUUCUCCUUGAAGAUACUCAUGUACUCAGCCAAAGAAAUAGAAUUUGAGCUAGGAUAGACUCCUGGAUUAGAGUCAUGCUACACAUUCUAGAAGACCCUAAUUCUCAAAGCUUGCUUAAAUACACAACCUAACAUGUUUGCUUUCCGUAAAAUAAGAAAGCAUGAUUUCCCACAGGGUGAAAUCAGAUCUAGUCUCAGGUGCUGUAUUUAUUAGGAAUGAAGCACAGAUCUUUCUCACUGUCGUUUGUCACAUGUGGAGCUUCUAACCAAAGACUUCAGAGGAAGAAAAAUGCUGCCAUGCUGCUGCUGUGGUUUUUGAGGAAAGCAACGGUUUUGCCAAAUUUACUACACAUUUAGAAAUUAUUUAGUUCUAAAUUUUAAUUUGAAUAUUUCACAUUUUCUCACUUUGAUGUAUUAAAAUUUCUGAAAAAGAAUUUAAGAAAAAACUAAAGAUUUUGUAAGGAGUUAGGGGAUGGGAAAGAGUAUAGGAGAAGAUAGAUGAUUUCUGGCAAUUCUAGUGUUACUAGUCAUUAUUAGCAUAAAGGUAAUACUCAAGUAAUAAAAUUAACGUCCUUAAGAAGAUAUAGAUACAUUUUAGCACUCAAAGUUUUGGGGCUCAGAAUAUAUAUUUUAUAACUUUAGCUAAACCUUAAAUUAUGAAUCUUUCAAACAUCAAAUGAGGCAUAUCCAAUUUGCAAUCACAAUCUGUCAUCCUCUCAACUUCAUCAAAUUUUGAAUUUUUGCAUAAAGGAAAUAUUCAUUUUGCUACUACUUUAUAUGAAAAUUUUGAAAGUUUCAUAUAAAGGAAACAUUCAUUCCUACUAUUCAGUAAAAUGAAUCUGUAGAUCACCAGUUAUCUCAUCAGUAGAUUAGAUCAACACUACUGAUCUAAUCAGCUCUGUGUGUUGUGGAGAACUCAGAUUUCUAUCCACACACAGGGAUUUAUCUUGGCAUUUUCUGCUACAACUGCUGCUUAACAAAUUUUUAAAAAUAAGUGCCCCCAAAUGAAAUAUUCUAAGGGGUUGAAAAAAGUAUUGCUUUAAACAUUUUAUUUUUAAUUUUAAUGAUUAGUGUGUGUGUGUGUUGGGGGUGGGGGGUGAUUCCCAGUGCCAUGUAGGGAGAUACAAGGGUGGAGAUUCCUGGGCUGAUCUAUUUUAUCCACAGAUGAAAUGACAGUGUGAGCAAACAGAUGUUUGAUCUGUGCCUCUGAGCUUGGCGUAGCUAAAGGGAAGGAUGCAUUCCUUCCUAUCGCUGGAGUCCCCCACCCAAUCCCAAAUAUCAAAGCAAAAAAAUUUGCAUGCUCCAAAAAAUAGAACCAAGAUAUAAGUGAAGAACUCUUCAAAUAUUUGUUUUAAAAAUCCUUUGAGAGUGUAUUGAAUUUGGAUCAUGAAAGCAGAGGUCAAUUUGUAUUUUUUCAUUUUUCCCAGUUUCACAUUUUUAAAAAAUGCUCUUUCACCACCUCCAUGUGCAGAGGGCUAUGAACUUGCUUUGUUUCCCAACUGACCUAUUCAUAUCAAGUUAGUUACACCCACUUAAGUCCCUUCCUCAAUUUUGGCUUGUCCAGUGAACCCUCCUAUGGAGCUGGGAACUGAUAUAGAAAUUUUGUGGGGUGUUUUGUUUGUUUGUUUUUUAACAGAAAAUGGAAUCCCUCAAUGCCACAAGACACCCUUUCUUAUUAAGAAACAAAAGGCAUGGAAAUUGCUAAAAAACAAAUCAAUUUCUAUUAGAAAAAGUUACACGAUUGGAAAAAGAAGAGCACAUUGCUGUAAUUACCGGUACAUCAAGCAGGGAUGAACAGCUGCGUGAACUUGGAGGCGGUAGAAUAACAGCCACUGAGCCAGCUUCCCCAUAUGGUCCAAGGGAGGAGGUGGGGCUUCUAGCGGCUGAGGGGUUGGAGAGGUGAGGAGGGGGCACACUCAAAUCCCAUUCAAGUGAGAAACUCAAGCCAAGAAAUGUCUGGCUUUCCAAUCCAAACCCAGCUUCUUUCGAGCUGCAGUGGGAAAAAUCCCCCUGGCCUCCAUAACAAAAGCCUCUAAAAUCAAUGUUGUUUUUUCCUAAAGAGAGCAAAAUGUGAGUGUUUUCAGACUUUUGGCUCCCCUGCUACUAAUAGAAAAGAUGACUUAAGAAAGACUGAAUCACUUCCUCAGCCUUCUUGGGGUGUGGCUAUGACUUGAAAUGGUUGGUAUCACUUCAUAAACACUG
This 3112-nucleotide long non-coding RNA is filed under the name Sus scrofa (pig). Its description in RNAcentral is "lncRNA (ENSSSCG00025028999.1)". The record is from RNAcentral. Lineage: Eukaryota; Metazoa; Chordata; Mammalia; Artiodactyla; Suidae.